UAGUGAUAUGCUUGUCUAAAAGAUUAAGCCAUGCAUGUCUCAGUAUAAGUAUCAUACAGCGAAACUGCGAAUGGCUCAUUAAAACAGUCAUAAUUUACACGAAGGUCUUCUAUACGGAAUAACCGAGUUAAUUUUUCGGCUAAUACGUGCGGAAAGGCCCUCGGGCUGUACUUAUUAGAUAAAGAACCGCGUCCUUCGGGACACUGGUGAAUCAUAAUAAUUGAUCAGAGCUCGCUUGCGAGCUAGUUCGUUCAAGUUUCUGACCUAUCAGGUUUCGAUGGUUGUGUAUUGGACAACCAUGCCUUUGACGGGUAACGGAGAAUUAGGGUUCGAUUCCGGAGAGGGAGCCUGAGAGACGGCUACCACGUCUAAGGAAGGCAGCAGGCGCGCAAAUUACCCAAUACGCACAGCGUGAGGUAGUGACAAGAAAUAACAAAAUGCGGCUUCUAGUUGCAUUAUUGGAAUGAGACGAAUCUAAACCCCUCGUCGAGUAUCAAUUGGAGGGCAAGUCUGGUGCCAGCAGCCGCGGUAAUUCCAGCUCCAAUAGCGUAUACUGUAUGCUGCGUUUUGAGCGCUCGUAGUUGGAUUUCUGCUUGGCGCGGCAGGUCUGCCUUUGGGUGUGUACUUGUCGCGUUGAGCAUUCAUGCCUUCUUGGCCACUGCACUUAAGUGUGAGGGGUCGAGGGGCAGCUUCCACGU
This 698-nucleotide ribosomal RNA is filed under the name uncultured Colpodella. RNAcentral's name for it is "bacterial SSU rRNA". It matches the Rfam family "Eukaryotic small subunit ribosomal RNA", at positions 21 to 751 of the family's 1831-position model. Lineage: Eukaryota; Colpodellaceae. The record is from RNAcentral.